Molecule: ribosomal RNA, 250 nt
Filed under: uncultured bacterium
Lineage: Bacteria
Description: partial 16S ribosomal RNA
Rfam family: Bacterial small subunit ribosomal RNA
Source: RNAcentral
UACGAAGGUGGCAAGCGUUACUCGGAAUUACUAGGCGUAAAGCGCAGGUAGGCGGUUCGAUAAGUCUUUUGUGAAAGCUCCCGGCUUAACUGGGAGAGGUCAAGGGAAACUGUCGGGCUCGAGUGUGGUAGAGGAUACUGGAAUUCCCGGUGUAGCGGUGAAAUGCGUAGAUAUCGGGAGGAAUACCUAUGGCGAAAGCAGGUAUCUGGGCCAUCACUGACGCUGAGCUGCGAAAGCUAGGGGAGCAAAC